ACGAAGUUAGCCGGGGCUUAUUCUGCGGGUACCGUCAUUAUCGUCCCCGCCAAAAGAGCUUUACAACCCUAAGGCCUUCGUCACUCACGCGGCAUGGCUGGAUCAGGCUUGCGCCCAUUGUCCAAUAUUCCCC
This 133-nucleotide ribosomal RNA is filed under the name uncultured bacterium. Its description in RNAcentral is "partial 16S ribosomal RNA". The record is from RNAcentral.